UAUGUGCUGGCUCAGUGGUAGAGCACUUGCUUCACAUAUAUGAGGCACUGGGUUCAAUCCUCAGCACCACAUAA
This 74-nucleotide transfer RNA is filed under the name Marmota monax (woodchuck). RNAcentral's name for it is "tRNA.Val". It matches the Rfam family "tRNA". From Rfam's summary of the family: Transfer RNA (tRNA) molecules are approximately 80 nucleotides in length. Their secondary structure includes four short double-helical elements and three loops (D, anti-codon, and T loops). The record is from RNAcentral. Lineage: Eukaryota; Metazoa; Chordata; Mammalia; Rodentia; Sciuridae.